Haliotis rufescens (red abalone) is the source of this 1230-nucleotide long non-coding RNA. RefSeq lists it as uncharacterized. The transcript has 3 exons. Lineage: Eukaryota; Metazoa; Mollusca; Gastropoda; Lepetellida; Haliotidae. The record is from RefSeq and is a predicted model, not a curated record.
GUUCUCUCCUAGAACGCGUGUGUUCUGCUGUGUUCUAUAAUGUUAUAUGCGAGAACACGUGUUCCAUUAAUAGAACAUCGGUGUUCUGUUUUUCUAACAAGCAUUCAAAGCUGUCCAUGCUCUGUGAUUCACAUCCGUUAUGUGAGAAACUGGCGUGACGUCGCAUGUAUUUGGCGCUACAAUUUCCUAUGAUCUGAGGUGUCUGUGGUAAGUAUCCAUCUAGGAAUACUUUUGUUUCAUAUUUAAUACGUACCUAAAAUAAUGUAAUAUUUCGGCGAUAUAUUCAUAUGCUGAUCCCAACGAAGUAAAACCGGCCCCUUACAAAACGCAUAGCAGACGACAUAUUACUCGCCAUUUUGACCGUCAUUUCUGCCAUUGUUCCACACGCUUUAUUUAUAAAUUAUGAGAUGAAAUUCCAAUCCAAAUUGCAAGUGUCACUAUUUGAACGUUUCCGUUUAUUUGAAUGAUGUUCAAAUAAAAUGAAUAUAUAUUUCAGGUUCUAUAUGAAUCGCCUGAAAGUGCGAAGCGGGCUACGUGCAACAAAUCUCUGAACAUCUAAAUUUGGGAUCCGAGGGCAUGAUCAGCAAGCAUCGACAAUGCAUCGAAAUCAGCAGAGAGUAGUGGUGCAUUGCAGAUAAUCAGUACCAUCCAUGGAAAUUAUUGCACAGGGCACACGUCUACACAAAGGAGGAAAAGACACAAGGUUUUGCAGAUCAAAUAAGAAGGAUGUUGGGGAGUCAUAUUUGACAUGAAGUUUCCUGAAGCCUGCGAUGGUCAUGUCGCUGUUACGAACAUCGUCCUUUGGGGAUAUUUACCCACAAGAAACAUCUGCGAAGUACAUGCGCUUGAAACUUAAGUUAUCUUAAGUAUGGAAGUAUGCUUCAAUUUGCUACACAACAGUUUGUAAUGUUUCAUGAAGAACUCUGACUCAUAAGUGACUUGAAUAUCCAUGAUCAUCCCAAACAAAUAUAAUAAAGAAUUCAUGGUUGCAGUUCAGAAUUUCGUCCGUGUGAUUUUAUGCCAGAGAAUAUGCAUGGGUGUAUGGUUUAAAUUCUUACACCUUGAAAAACAUCGGGUAAAUUGUAUUCGACACACACGAUGAGUUGUCGUUUCAGUAAUGUGGAAGUACGUGUCCGAGAACGUGUAGUGUUCUGAAUCUCGGUCCAGAACACUUUACAGGCGUUCUAAAAGCGUUACAUCGUCAGAACACGUUGAAGCGUUCUAAAUAUG